RNAcentral lists this ribosomal RNA (325 nucleotides) under uncultured bacterium. RNAcentral describes it as "bacterial SSU rRNA". It matches the Rfam family "Bacterial small subunit ribosomal RNA", at positions 471 to 793 of the family's 1533-position model. The record is from RNAcentral.
GACGUUUAGCUGCAGAAGAAGCACCGGCUAACUCCGUGCCAGCAGCCGCGGUAAUACGGAGGGUGCGAGCGUUAAUCGGAAUUACUGGGCGUAAAGCGCAUGCAGGUGGUUUGUUAAGUCAGAUGUGAAAGCCCGGGGCUCAACCUCGGAAUUGCAUUUGAAACUGGCAAACUAGAGUACUGUAGAGGGGGUAGAAUUUCAGGUGUAGCGGUGAAAUGCGUAGAGAUCUGAAGGAAUACCGGUGGCGAAGGCGGCCCCCUCGGACAGAUACUGACACUCAGAUGCGAAAGCGUGGGGAGCAAACAGGAUUAGAUACCCUCGGUAG